This 1214-nucleotide ribosomal RNA is filed under the name seawater metagenome. RNAcentral's name for it is "bacterial LSU rRNA". It matches the Rfam family "Bacterial large subunit ribosomal RNA", at positions 1276 to 2467 of the family's 2925-position model. The record is from RNAcentral.
GAGGUAUCAGAAGUGCGAAUGCUGACAUGAGUAACGAUAAGGGGGGUGAAAAACCCCCCCGCCGAAAGAUCAAGGUUUCCUGUCCAACGUUAAUCGGGACAGGGUGAGUCGGCACCUAAGGCGAGGGCGAAGGCCGUAGUCGAUGGAAAAUCGGUUAAAAUUCCGAUACCGAUUCUUACUGCGAUGGAGGGACGGAGCAGGCUAGGCUAGCACGGCGUUGGUAGUCCGUGUUUAAGCGUGUAGGUAGGGGGAUUAGGUAAAUCCGGUUCCUCGUUAAUCUGAGACGUGAUGACGAUCUCUUGGGGCAACCCUUGAGAGAAGUAGUUGAUGCCAUACUUCCAGGAAAAUCUUCUAAGCUUCAGGUAAGAAUUGACCGUACUGUAAACCGACACAGGUGAUCAGGUAGAGAAUACCAAGGCGCUUGAGAGAACUUGGGUGAAGGAACUAGGCAAAAUGGUACCGUAACUUCGGGAGAAGGUACGCUCUCUUUGGUGAUCGGACUUGCUCCGUAAGCUGAGGAGAGUCGAAGUGACCAGGUGGCUGCAACUGUUUAUUAAAAACAUAGCACUCUGCAAACACGUAAGUGGACGUAUAGGGUGUGACGCCUGCCCGGUGCCGGAAGGUUAAUUGAUGGGGUUAGCUAACGCGAAGCUCUUGAUCGAAGCCCCGGUAAACGGCGGCCGUAACUAUAACGGUCCUAAGGUAGCGAAAUUCCUUGUCGGGUAAGUUCCGACCUGCACGAAUGGCGUAAUGAUGGCCACGCUGUCUCCACCCGAGACUCAGUGAAAUUGAAAUCGCUGUGAAGAUGCAGUGUAUCCGCGGCUAGACGGAAAGACCCCGUGAACCUUUACUAUAGCUUUGCACUGGACUUUGAAUUUGCUUGUGUAGGAUAGGUGGGAGGCUUUGAAGCGUGGACGCCAGUCUGCGUGGAGCCAUCCUUGAAAUACCACCCUGGCAACUUUGAGGUUCUAACUCAGGUCCGUUAUCCGGAUCGAGGACAGUGUAUGGUGGGUAGUUUGACUGGGGCGGUCUCCUCCUAAAGAGUAACGGAGGAGUACGAAGGUGCGCUCAGACCGGUCGGAAAUCGGUCGUAGAGUAUAAAGGCAAAAGCGCGCUUGACUGCGAGACAGACACGUCGAGCAGGUACGAAAGUAGGUCUUAGUGAUCCGGUGGUUCUGUAUGGAAGGGCCAUCGCUCAACGGAUAAAAGGUACU